RNAcentral lists this ribosomal RNA (747 nucleotides) under uncultured bacterium. RNAcentral's name for it is "bacterial SSU rRNA". It matches the Rfam family "Bacterial small subunit ribosomal RNA", at positions 505 to 1246 of the family's 1533-position model. The record is from RNAcentral.
GUGCCAGCCGCCGCGGUAAGACGGAGGUCCCUAGCGUUGUUCGGAAUCACUGGGCUUAAAGCGCGUGUAGGCGGAAGGCAGUACCUUGUGAAAUCCCCGGGCUCAACCCGGGAAUGGCUGGGUAUACUGCCUUUCUUGAGGCAGGUAGGGGUCACUGGAACCUUGGGUGGAGCGGUGAAGUGCGUAGAUAUCUAAGGGAACGCCUGUGGCGAAAGCGGGUGACUGGGCCUGUCCUGACGCUGAGACGCGAAAGCGUAGGGAGCAAACGGGAUUAGAUACCCCGGUAGUCUACGCUGUAAACGAUGCGCACUAGGUUCGAAGGUCCCUGACGACACUCGAGCCGAAACAAAAGCGAUAAGUGCGCCGCCUGGGGAGUACGGCCGCAAGGCUAAAACUCAAAGGAAUUGACGGGGGCUCACACAAGCGGUGGAGCAUGUGGAUCAAUCCGAAGCAACGCGAAGAACCUUACCUGGGUUUGACAUGCACGGAUGCCGUCCAUGAAAGUGGAGCCGGCUGCCUUCGGGUGAAACGUGUACAGGUGCUGCAUGGCUGUCGUCAGCUCGUGCUGUGAAGUGUCGGGUUAAGUCCCUUAACGAGCGAAACCCUUAUCUCUAGUUGCCAACGGGUCAUGCCGGGAACUCUAGUGAGACUGCCGGCGUUAAGCCGGAGGAAGGUGGGGACGACGUCAAGUCAUCAUGGCCUUUAUGCCCAGGGUGUCACACGUGCUACAAUGGGGCGUACAGAGCG